Molecule: ribosomal RNA, 397 nt
Filed under: uncultured bacterium
Lineage: Bacteria
Description: bacterial SSU rRNA
Rfam family: Bacterial small subunit ribosomal RNA
Source: RNAcentral
UUACCUGGGCUUGACAUGCGGCUGGAUGCCGGUCGAAAGAUCGGAGGCCUUCGAGGCUGCCGCACAGGUGCUGCAUGGCUGUCGUCAGCUCGUGCCGUGAGAUGUUGGGUUAAGUCCCGCAACGAGCGCAACCCUUGUCGUAUGUUGUCUUUUCAUACGAGACCGCCCGGGCCAACCGGGAGGAAGGUGGGGAUGACGUCUGGUCAGCAUGGCCCUUACGCCUCGGGCUACACACGUCCUACAAUGGGUAGUACAAUGGGCAGCCAAACCGUAAGGUGGAGCAAAUCCCAUCAAAACUACCCCCAGUUCGGAUAGAGGGCUGAAACUCGCCCUCUUGAAGUUGGAAUCGCUAGUAAUGGCGCGUCAGCAUAGCGCCGUGAAUACGUUCCCGGGUCUU